GCACGAGCGCACCCUCGUUUUUAGUUGCCAUCAUUAAGUUGGGCACUCUAGAGAGACUGCCGGUGACAAACCGGAGGAAGGUGGGGAUGACGUCAAGUCAUCAUGCCCCUUACGCCUUGGGCUACACACGUACUACAAUGGUCGGGACAAAGAGUCGCAAGCAUGCGAAUGCAAGCUAAUCUCAUAAACCCGGUCUUAGUUCAGAUUGCAGGCUGCAACUCGCCUGCAUGAAGGCGGAAUCGCUAGUAAUCGCAGGUCAGCAUACUGCGGUGAAUACGUUCCCGGGCCUUGUACACACCGCCCGUCACACCAUGGAAGCUGGUCACGCCCGAAGUCGUUAUCUCAACCCGCAAGGGAGGGAGGCGCCUAAGGCAGGGCUGGUGACUGGGGUGAAGUCGUAACAAGGUAGCCGUACCGGAAGGUGCGGCUGGAUCACCUCCUUA
Molecule: ribosomal RNA, 443 nt
Filed under: Pseudanabaena sp. CCY0480
Lineage: Bacteria; Bacillati; Cyanobacteriota; Cyanophyceae; Pseudanabaenales; Pseudanabaenaceae
Description: bacterial SSU rRNA
Rfam family: Bacterial small subunit ribosomal RNA
Source: RNAcentral